RNAcentral lists this non-coding RNA (26 nucleotides) under Mus musculus (house mouse). The record is from RNAcentral. Lineage: Eukaryota; Metazoa; Chordata; Mammalia; Rodentia; Muridae.
GACUGACUAUGACUCAGGUGGCCAGG